CAUAUCAGCCAUAUCACCCUGCAACUCACAACUGGCAACCCACUGAAGCUAAGCAGGUGUGAGCCUGGUCAGUACCUGGAUGGGAGACCUCCUGGGAAAAACUAAGGUUGCUGCUGGAA
Molecule: ribosomal RNA, 119 nt
Organism: Lepisosteus oculatus (spotted gar)
Lineage: Eukaryota; Metazoa; Chordata; Actinopteri; Semionotiformes; Lepisosteidae
Source: Ensembl